RNAcentral lists this ribosomal RNA (696 nucleotides) under uncultured Actinomycetes bacterium. Its description in RNAcentral is "bacterial SSU rRNA". It matches the Rfam family "Bacterial small subunit ribosomal RNA", at positions 826 to 1520 of the family's 1533-position model. Lineage: Bacteria; Bacillati; Actinomycetota; Actinomycetes. The record is from RNAcentral.
GAGGUGUCGACUCCUCCCGUGCCCGUCGUUACGCACUUAAGUACCCCGCCUGGGAGUACGGCCCGCAAGGCUAAACUCAAAGGAAUUGACGGGGGCCCGCACCAAGCAGGCGGAGCAUGUUGGUUUAAUUCGACGCAACGCCGAAGAACCCUCACCUGGCUUGACAUGUUGGUGACCGCCGUGGAAACACGUUUUCCUUCGGGACACCAUCACAGGUGGUGCAUGGCUGUCGUCAGCUCGUGUCGUGAGAUGUUGGGUUAAGUCCCCGCAACGAGCGCAACCCCCGUCCUAUGUUGCCAGCAUUCAGUUGGGGACUCAUAGGAGACUGCCGGUGACAAACCGGAGGAAGGUGGGGAUGACGUCAAGUCAUCAUGCCCCUUAUGUCCAGGGCUACACACGUGCUACAUUGGCGCAUACAAAGGGCAGCAAUACCGCGAGGUGGAGCAAAUCCCAUAAAGUGCGCCUCGGUUCGGAUUGGAGGCUGAAACUCGCCUCCAUGAAGGUGGAGUUGCUAGUAAUCGCGGAUCAGCAAUGCCGCGGUGAAUACGUUCCCGGGCCUUGUACACACCGCCCGUCACACCACGAAAGCGAGUAACACCCGAAGCCGGUGGCCUAACCGCAAGGAGGGAGCUGUCGAAGGUGGGACCCGUGAUAGAGAUGAAGUCGUAACAAGGUAUUCGUAGAUCGAAUGAGAGA